This 330-nucleotide long non-coding RNA is filed under the name Rhinopithecus bieti (black snub-nosed monkey). RNAcentral describes it as "lncRNA (ENSRBIG00000046465.1)". Lineage: Eukaryota; Metazoa; Chordata; Mammalia; Primates; Cercopithecidae. The record is from RNAcentral.
AAAGAGAACCUUGGAAUGUUUCAACUAGAUAUAUAUAUCUGUCUCAAUCUCUUCACUUUGUCAUUUUUCUUUUCUUUAAUUCUAUUGGGACCUGCUAUCACUUCCUUUGUUUACAAUGGCUCUGCUUCUCUCCAAGCUUUUGCAAUAAAAGCAAUAUAUACACUUUUCCUUUGCUGCUCUUCAAGAAUAGUUUUCACCCAAAAGAUAAAUAAUCAAGGACAUCAACAAAAUGUUCACAAACAAUGAAAUGCUCAUGAUUGAAGGUAAAAUGUUUAAAACUUAUAAUUUAUGUGUCUCCAACUGGCAAAAAAAAAGUUAAAUUGAAAUUCU